AUGGACGAAAGUCUGAUGGAGCAACGCCGCGUGAGUGAAGAAGGAUUUCGGUUCGUAAAACUCUGUUGCAAGGGAAGAACAAGUAGCGUAGUAACUGGCGCUACCUUGACGGUACCUUGUUAGAAAGCCACGGCUAACUACGUGCCAGCAGCCGCGGUAAUACGUAGGUGGCAAGCGUUGUCCGGAAUUAUUGGGCGUAAAGCGCGCGCAGGUGGUUCCUUAAGUCUGAUGUGAAAGCCCCCGGCUCAACCGGGGAGGGUCAUUGGAAACUGGGGAACUUGAGUGCAGAAGAGGAUAGUGGAAUUCCAAGUGUAGCGGUGAAAUGCGUAGAGAUUUGGAGGAACACCAGUGGCGAAGGCGACUGUCUGGUCUGUAACUGACACUGAGGCGCGAAAGCGUGGGGAGCAAACAGGAUUAGAUACCCUGGUAGUCCACGCCGUAAACGAUGAGUGCUAAGUGUUGGGGGGUUUCCGCCCCUCAGUGCUGCAGCUAACGCAUUAAGCACUCCGCCUGGGGA
Molecule: ribosomal RNA, 517 nt
Filed under: uncultured bacterium
Lineage: Bacteria
Description: bacterial SSU rRNA
Rfam family: Bacterial small subunit ribosomal RNA
Source: RNAcentral